GAUGAACGCUGGCGGCGCGCCUAACACAUGCAAGUCGAACGGACUCUGAACUUAUUUUUAAUAAGGCGCAGUACUGAACGAGAGCGGACAUAUAAUUUUUCGGGCGAAUUUUGCCAUUCCGAUGUAACCAUCGGACGGCUGAGUUCCGAAAAAUUACAUAUGUCUGCUAAACGUUCAGUCUCAAGCAAGAGUUAGUGGCGGACGGGUGAGUAACACGUUAGUACCUGCCCUUAGUGGGGAAUAACUCGGCGAAAGUCGAGCUAAUACCGCAUGAGACCAUUUAUGGUGAAAGCCUUCGGGCGCUAAAGGAGGGGCUUACGUUAGAUUAGCUUGUUGGUAGUGUAAUAGACUACCAAGGCGAUGAUCUAUAGCUGGUUCGAGAGGAUGACCAGCCACACUGGGACUGAGAUACGGCCCAGACUCCUACGGGAGGCAGCAGUGAGGAAUCUUCCGCAAUGGACGAAGUCUGACGGAGCAACGCCGCGUGCAGGA
RNAcentral lists this ribosomal RNA (492 nucleotides) under uncultured bacterium. Its description in RNAcentral is "bacterial SSU rRNA". It matches the Rfam family "Bacterial small subunit ribosomal RNA", at positions 28 to 408 of the family's 1533-position model. The record is from RNAcentral.